Molecule: long non-coding RNA, 323 nt
Organism: Nematolebias whitei (Rio pearlfish)
Lineage: Eukaryota; Metazoa; Chordata; Actinopteri; Cyprinodontiformes; Rivulidae
Exons: 3
Source: RefSeq, a predicted model, not a curated record
UCAGUGAUGCCUCUGCAGACCACAGACGGGGAGAUACAUGAAGAUACUACGGUCCGUGGGACCUUACGAUCCAAGUGACGUCCUAUGAUCUGCCCCAAGUCGAAAUUAUUUCCAAGGAAAGACGCGUUUUCUGUGGGAUUCAAGGGAUUAAUCUCUGUCGGGCGGUCUCUCUUCACAAAGGUGGAGAAAUGUGCACACACAGACGAGGAGGAGUGUGGAAUUGAGUGCAGGGGAAGAAAGAUGCCAAAGAUGAAAACAUAAAACAGAUGGUUGAUUCUGUGGCUUUGAUCAUCUCCACCAGAGGAAUUCUACUUGGUGCAACC